GUCGCCGCGAGGCGGGGUCUGAAAGAAGCGUGGAGCAAACGUGCGAGCCGAUGAACAAAAACCGGAUACGAGGCGUGAGCGUCGGACGAGCGGGCAAAUGACCGCGAAGUCCACAUCCAUCAAAGGCGCGGAGCGUAAAUUCGGCGGUUGCGCACAGAAGGCGGUCGGU
Non-coding RNA from Elusimicrobia bacterium CG1_02_63_36, 169 nucleotides. The record is from Rfam. NCBI's taxonomy places the organism in Bacteria, Pseudomonadati, Elusimicrobiota.